Pseudophryne corroboree (corroboree frog) is the source of this 288-nucleotide long non-coding RNA. RefSeq lists it as uncharacterized. NCBI's taxonomy places the organism in Eukaryota, Metazoa, Chordata, Amphibia, Anura, Myobatrachidae. The record is from RefSeq and is a predicted model, not a curated record. The transcript is spliced from 3 exons.
UCCUCCAGGCUUACCUUGACCUACUAGGUCCUGUGAUGACCACCAGCACCACCACCACCAGCACCAUCACCCCACCAUCCGGCAUUCCUGAACCCUCAAUAAGCCUCCAGGCGGACCAGGGCCCACUGCGCCCUCCAGCUCCCACCUCCACCUCCACCACCACCACCACCUAACCAGGACCAGAACAGAGGGGCUCUGUGCCGGACAAUCUUUCAAGGGAGCAAGUCCGGCAAUUGAUUCUGAUUCUGUGGGCGGUGGUGAACAGAAUGUUCAAAAUUAUUUUGCAGC